This 153-nucleotide ribosomal RNA is filed under the name Stomiopeltis sp. S1-2.G2. RNAcentral's name for it is "5.8S ribosomal RNA". The stretch from base 1 to 91 matches the Rfam family "5.8S ribosomal RNA", at positions 64 to 154 of the family's 154-position model. From Rfam's summary of the family: 5.8S ribosomal RNA (5.8S rRNA) is a component of the large subunit of the eukaryotic ribosome. The record is from RNAcentral. Lineage: Eukaryota; Fungi; Ascomycota; Dothideomycetes; Capnodiales.
AAUGUGAAUUGCAGAAUUCAGUGAAUCAUCGAAUCUUUGAACGCACAUUGCGCCCUUUGGUAUUCCGAAGGGCAUGCCCGUUCGAGCGUCAUUUCACCACUCAAGCAUAGCUUGGUAUUGGGCGUCGCGUCCGCCGCGCGCCUCGAAGUCCCC